UUCUCCAAAAGAAAGCACUUUCUG
RNAcentral lists this microRNA (24 nucleotides) under Gorilla gorilla (western gorilla). RNAcentral's name for it is "ggo-miR-515-5p". Its record names the gene ggo-miR-515-5p. RNAcentral also lists the same sequence under 4 other names. Lineage: Eukaryota; Metazoa; Chordata; Mammalia; Primates; Hominidae. The record is from miRBase by way of RNAcentral.